CCUACGGGUGGCAGCAGUGGGGAAUAUUGGGCAAUGGGCGCAAGCCUGACCCAGCAACGCCGCGUGAAGGAAGAAGGCUUUCGGGUUGUAAACUUCUUUUGUCAGGGACGAAGCAAGUGACGGUACCUGACGAAUAAGCCACGGCUAACUACGUGCCAGCAGCCGCGGUAAUACGUAGGUGGCAAGCGUUAUCCGGAUUUACUGGGUGUAAAGGGCGUGUAGGCGGGACUGCAAGUCAGAUGUGAAAACCACGGGCUCAACCUGUGGCCUGCAUUUGAAACUGUAGUUCUUGAGUACUGGGGAGGCAGACGGAAUUCCUGGUGUAGCGGUGAAAUGCGUAGAUAUCAGGAGGAACACCGGCGGCGAAGGCGGCCUGCUGGACCGCGACUGACGUUGAGGCUCGAAAGCGUGGGGAGCGAACAGGAUUAGAUACCCCUGUAGUC
Molecule: ribosomal RNA, 443 nt
Filed under: uncultured bacterium
Lineage: Bacteria
Description: partial 16S ribosomal RNA
Rfam family: Bacterial small subunit ribosomal RNA
Source: RNAcentral